Molecule: long non-coding RNA, 213 nt
Organism: Lolium rigidum
Lineage: Eukaryota; Viridiplantae; Streptophyta; Magnoliopsida; Poales; Poaceae
Exons: 2
Source: RefSeq, a predicted model, not a curated record
GGUAUUUAUCAAGUAAGCCAGCAUUGGGACAAGUUAACGAUCACCAAGAAGGCGUCCGAUGCUGCAAGCUUCCUACAUGAUUGUGUGUGCAGUGAAACCUGAUGGCUGCCUCCGCAACACUCUCCAAUGAGACAUACUGGCCGGGCAUGUCUUCUUCUCGCCAUGGUGACAUGGUGUAUGACGAGCUGCAAAGUAUCAACUGACGUGGGAUAU